This 368-nucleotide ribosomal RNA is filed under the name Lactiplantibacillus plantarum. RNAcentral's name for it is "bacterial SSU rRNA". It matches the Rfam family "Bacterial small subunit ribosomal RNA", at positions 534 to 900 of the family's 1533-position model. Lineage: Bacteria; Bacillati; Bacillota; Bacilli; Lactobacillales; Lactobacillaceae. The record is from RNAcentral.
GCAAGCGUUAUCCGGAUUUAUUGGGCGUAAAGCGAGCGCAGGCGGUUUUUUAAGUCUGAUGUGAAAGCCUUCGGCUCAACCGAAGAAGUGCAUCGGAAACUGGGAAACUUGAGUGCAGAAGAGGACAGUGGAACUCCAUGUGUAGCGGUGAAAUGCGUAGAUAUAUGGAAGAACACCAGUGGCGAAGGCGGCUGUCUGGUCUGUAACUGACGCUGAGGCUCGAAAGCGUGGGUAGCAAACAGGAUUAGAUACCCUGGUAGUCCAUACCGUAAACGAUGAAUGCUAAGUGUUGGAGGGUUUCCGCCCUGCAGUGCUGCAGCUAACGCAUUAAGUCAUCCGCCUGGGGAGUACGGCCGCAAGGGUGAAAC